AAGCGUAUGCAAAUAGAUCACGUGACACCGGCUGACCCGGUGCGCAAUAUGCUGGCUCAAUCAAGUGAUACAACAAGUGAUGACUCCAGGCUGUCCAACCCAACAUGCAGGACUGUACCCGGGGUUGGUUGUUUUCCACUGUCCAUGCUGGCGUCCAGGAACGAAAACCUUUUCUGUUUCACGCAAAUACAUAGAAUAUAUGUAAAUAAAAAAAGUAUCAAAUUU
This is a long non-coding RNA of Haliotis rubra (blacklip abalone), 225 nucleotides long. RefSeq lists it as uncharacterized. The transcript has 2 exons. The record is from RefSeq and is a predicted model, not a curated record. NCBI's taxonomy places the organism in Eukaryota, Metazoa, Mollusca, Gastropoda, Lepetellida, Haliotidae.